Molecule: long non-coding RNA, 775 nt
Organism: Lagopus leucura (white-tailed ptarmigan)
Lineage: Eukaryota; Metazoa; Chordata; Aves; Galliformes; Phasianidae
Exons: 3
Source: RefSeq, a predicted model, not a curated record
AUGGCUGGUCUUGCCUUGUGAUGGGCCUGUCUGCUUCCCCAUAGGUUUUUAUUUCUGCCUUUUCUUUCUUUGUUUCUGGAGAUCCUUGCCAGUCUUUGAGGGUUUUUGUAUAAAGUCCUGGUGUGAGGAGAAACCAAGGAAGGUGCCAGAAAACUUCUUCAGCAGAUGAGGUAGAGGAAAACCUCUGGUGUGUAGCAAGAUCAUCAUCAAUGAGGAGGAAUUGGCAUUCCAAGUCGAAGCAGACUGCAUUUUUAUGAAGAGUUUGCAGUGGGGAAAAAUAAUGCUCCAAGGGUUUCUACAUCAACAUUUCAGCUUGGAUUAAGUACGUUUGUUUACCUCAUGGGACAGUCUUGGAGUGUAUAACCAGGGUUCACUUUGGAUGAAACUGAAAUACCAAUAUUGUCUAGAAUUGCAUCCAAUAUACUCCAGUGACCAAAGGAUGCUGUGGUCUUGGGGCUAUCUGGAUUUUGCCUGAAAGUGGACCUCUGUGUGUAAUGCAAAUAUUGUCCCUUCAGCACCAAUUGCAUUACUCUGUAGGUCUGCCUCCAUUGUACUGUGCUACUUGUCAGAGCAGACAAACCUGUGCUCCUUUAAAGCUGAUAGCGAAGUACCACUUUGAUCCACAAAUUCAUUCAGUGCCAAGAAGAUAAUCCCAUGGAAUGCAUGUAAAUCGCCAGUAGACAGCCAUUCUUCAUAACUCUGUGACUUGCAGUUAAGACUAGUGUAUAUCUUGGCAUUGUGGGUGUAAGUUACACUAUAGCUCAAGGUAGGAUAU